This 344-nucleotide ribosomal RNA is filed under the name uncultured bacterium. RNAcentral's name for it is "bacterial SSU rRNA". It matches the Rfam family "Bacterial small subunit ribosomal RNA", at positions 149 to 507 of the family's 1533-position model. The record is from RNAcentral.
CCGGGAAACCGGAGCUAAUACCGAAUGAUCUGGUAGAGUCUGCGGACUUUAUUGGUAAGGCCGAAAGGCGCGAAGGGAUCGGGUUGCGGCCCAUUAGUUUGAUGGUGGGGUAAAGGCCUACCAUGACUACGNUGGGUAGCUGGUCUGAGAGGNUGNUCAGCCACACUGGAACUGGAACACGGUCCAGNCUCCCACGGGAGGCAGCAGUUGGGAAUCUUGCACAAUGGGCGAAAGCCUGAUGCAGCAAUCCCGCGUGAGUGAUGAAGGCUUUCGGGUCGUAAAGCUCUUUCAGCAGGGAANAAUAACUGACGGUACCUGCAGAAGAAGCACCGGCUAACUACGUG